UUCGACUCUUCGGUCUUCCUCUUCCUGCUUCCUAAAACUGCCUUCUCUAUUUCCUUCUCCCCUUAAUGGCUUAACCCUAAUACCUUCUCCAAAGUCCAUAGCCCAAACUCCAAUCUUGAUCCAUAGCAAUCAGCAAAAAGGAAGCUUGAAGUCUUUCUACUCACCGCACCGGUUCUAAGCCAAAAAACUCUGGAAUUCAAGCUAUUACCAGGAACAUACUCCCUCUAGAGUUGACACUCAAGAGACUCGGUCUCCCGAUCGUAUCCCGCUGCCUCUGCUGUGGGCGGCAUGAGGAGUCGCGGAGGCAUCUGUUUAUUAUGAGCCCUGUUGCUUUCCAAGUUUGGAGAUAUUUUAGGAGGCGGUUUGGUAUUAUCGACUCCGUAUUCUCGUCUGUCUUGUCUCUAUUACUCUCCUGGUUGUACUCUAGCUCGGUGGGAAAGGUGCGUCACAUUCGGGUAGUGGUUCCGCUACUUGUGUUUUGGUGUCUGUGGAAAGCCAGAAAUAAUGCUAGAUUUGGGGGCAUGUGGUUCGAGGUCCCUAGCGUGAUUUUGAUGGUGGAACAGAUGAUCGAGCAGUUAGGCACAGCGGGUGUGCUCUCGGCCAUACAUUUUACAGGCGAUACCGAAGAUCCAUGGGCGGCGCUAACGUCCCAUCCCACCCGUAGAAGGGAUUGUGUCGCGGUCUCGUGGAAACGUCUUCCACCUCUAGCUUUUAAAUUGAACACGGAUGCCAGUAUUUCCUAGGGGCGGAUAUCCGGAGAUGACAUCCUCAGAGACUCAUGUGGGCGGGUUGUGUUUGCUUUCUACAAGGAAUUUGGUGAUAGGGAGGUCCUCAUCGCAGAAAGUUUGGCAUUACUAUAGGGUCUAUGCUAGGAACGGCACAUCCAAAGGCUUCUAGUGGAGGUUGAUUCACAAGUUUUGGUCCAAUUGAUCCAUUCAAGGAGGGUGUCAAAGUGGCCGCUAUGCAACACGCUGCGUCGGAUAUGCCAUCUUCUUACCUCACUGUCGUCUUCAGUGUCUCACAUCUUUCGGGAGGCUAACAGUCCUGCUGAUAUGCUGGCAAACUUGCGGUGGGAGACUGAAUGGUUCUGCACGUCUUCUCAGCAACUAUCGAGUUUGGUAUAGGCUUCUGUACUACUCGAUGCUAGGGAAUUCUCGUCUGUACAACUUCAAUUUGCCUCACAUUAAUGCCCUCGGGUUUAUGCUCUAGAUAGCUGUCUAGUUGGAAGGGAUCUGUGUAAUCUUGGCUCUUGGUCUGAUUUUCAAUAAAGUUGGUUUUUCAUAGUACA
Non-coding RNA from Coffea arabica (coffee), 1288 nucleotides. The record is from RefSeq and is a predicted model, not a curated record. NCBI's taxonomy places the organism in Eukaryota, Viridiplantae, Streptophyta, Magnoliopsida, Gentianales, Rubiaceae.